This 460-nucleotide ribosomal RNA is filed under the name uncultured bacterium. Its description in RNAcentral is "partial 16S ribosomal RNA". It matches the Rfam family "Bacterial small subunit ribosomal RNA", at positions 338 to 795 of the family's 1533-position model. The record is from RNAcentral.
CCUACGGGUGGCAGCAGUGAGGAAUAUUGGUCAAUGGACGGAAGUCUGAACCAGCCAUGCCGCGUGCAGGAAGACGGCUCUAUGAGUUGUAAACUUCUUUUGUACAAGGGUAAACCUGAAUACGUGUAUUCAGCUGAAAGUACUGUACGAAUAAGGAUCGGCUAACUCCGUGCCAGCAGCCGCGGUAAUACGGAGGAUCCAAGCGUUAUCCGGAUUUAUUGGGUUUAAAGGGUGCGUAGGCGGAUUGUUAAGUUAGAGGUGAAAUGUCCGGGCUUAACUCGGGAAUUGCAUUUAAUACUGGUGAUCUAGAGAGUAGAUGAGGUAGGCGGAAUGCAUGGUGUAGCGGUGAAAUGCUUAGAGAUCAUAAAGAACACCGAUUGCGAAGGCAGCUUACUAAUCUAUAUCUGACGUUGAGGCACGAAAGCGUGGGGAGCAAACAGGAUUAGAUACCCUGGUAGUC